UACGAAGGGGGCUAGCGUUGCUCGGAAUUACUGGGCGUAAAGCGCACGUAGGCGGCUUCUUAAGUCGGUGGUGAAAUCCUGGAGCUCAACUCCAGAACUGCCUUCGAUACUGGGAAGCUCGAGUCCGGGAGAGGUGAGUGGAACUGCGAGUGUAGAGGUGAAAUUCGUAGAUAUUAGCUAGAACACCAGUGGCGAAGGCGGCCAACUGGUCCGGUACUGACGCUGAGGUGCGAAAGCGUGGGGAGCAAACAGG
Molecule: ribosomal RNA, 253 nt
Filed under: uncultured bacterium
Lineage: Bacteria
Description: partial 16S ribosomal RNA
Rfam family: Bacterial small subunit ribosomal RNA
Source: RNAcentral